RNAcentral lists this ribosomal RNA (101 nucleotides) under Staphylococcus pseudintermedius. RNAcentral describes it as "partial 23S ribosomal RNA". It matches the Rfam family "Bacterial large subunit ribosomal RNA", at positions 2824 to 2925 of the family's 2925-position model. Lineage: Bacteria; Bacillati; Bacillota; Bacilli; Caryophanales; Staphylococcaceae. The record is from RNAcentral.
GGUUAUAAGAUCCCUCAAAGAUGAUGAGGUAAAUAGGUUCGAGGUGGAAGCGUAGCGAUACGUGGAGCUGACGAAUACUAAUCGAUCGAAGACUUAAUCAA